UCUUGGCAAGUAAGGGGGCAGGCAUUUCAGAAAAAAACCCCACAGCAGGGAACAUCCUUCAUAUAGACUCUGCCCCUCCUUUUUAUACUUUUCAUCCCCCUCUAGAUAAACAUUUUCCACUCGGACCCAGGGUACACACACCCCAAGCCAACCCUUUCUUUCUCCCUGUCAAUCUCAUUCUCUGCACCUGGAAAGACAAAAGAAGCAGCCAUUGAACUCUGGAGGAGGGGUCCUGACUUGAGAGUGUGGUCAGCAAUCUGCUGAAGCCUUUGGCUUUACACUGCAACAUAAAAAGCGUACUAGCAGAUAACUGCACUGGAUCAUCCGAAAUAACAAAAGGCUUGAGCUAUUUGCAUAUAAGGAAUCAGCACAAUCAUUUGGCCAACAAAAGACUAGCUGGUCAACAGCACUGGGGGUAGCUCUGUGAUUGCUUUUCACUCAGCUGAAAACUCUGAGAUACUCUGUCAGAGCUGGAGGCCAAGAACAUGAGGAAUUCCCAAUCAUGAAAUAAGAAAAGAACCUUGGAGAAUACCUUGAAGAAAGAGGACAGGCCAAAGAGAAGCAUUUCAGUGCCUAAAGUGAUCCUGACCAAUUGUAAAGCGGGGAAAUGUCUUGUGAGAGGUAUCUAUAUUCUGAGAAAUGUUAGGGUGACCUUCAAACCUUUUAGGGUAUGUAAGAAUUUGCCUGUGGAUUCAAAUGGGAAGUCUUCCAUAGUAUUUUGGACUUUCAUACAAAAGCCAUGCAGAGACAGACGAGAUGCUUGGUAUAUGAUGGUAGUGGUGAUUGACUGAGCCAAAGACUUGGGUACACUUAGGAAGGCUUUUUAUGAGGUCCUCUCUAAGAGCUGACCUUCAUUUAUAAUUGCCUUUAACUGUUCCUGGUAUUUGUCAGGAAGGUGUUCAAUAAAGGUGUUGAAUUUACCAUCAUUGGUGUAGUUGUAUUAUGUCAGCAGAGCCUGGUAAUUUAUGAUCCUCAAUUGCAGAGCUGCAAAAGUGUAACUUUUA
Non-coding RNA from Pelodiscus sinensis (Chinese soft-shelled turtle), 1004 nucleotides. NCBI's taxonomy places the organism in Eukaryota, Metazoa, Chordata, Testudines, Trionychidae. The record is from RefSeq and is a predicted model, not a curated record.